CGUAACUCGUCAGUCACUCGUUCGUUGUGUUCGAUGGGCUCACGCCUCCCCCGCGAUCCUCCGCCCGUCCGCCGCCGGCCGGCCGCCGCAUGUGCCAUGACCUCGCAGCGCCGUCCUGGUGCACGGCAUUUUUCCUGCACACGCAGUGUGGAAAUCCAAUCCAAUCCAAUCCAAUCCAAUCCAAUCUCCGCUGACAUCUCCCCACCCCACGCCCACACACCCACGCUCUCCGUAGCAUGACACCAAGAACGGCGGCGGCGCUGUCAGGUCGUCUACUCCGCGGCAAGAAGGCAGUGAACCUCGCACCAGAGCAGGUCCCGAAGCUGCUAGCUACGCUCGCGUCACCUGCACGGCUUGAGGAGGAUGGCGCUCGUCUCCGUCAUCCUCCCGCGCCCGCCACCCGUUCGAGAAAAUUCCUCGCCGGGAUGACGAGGUGGGCGCCAUCCGCGUGCUCUUCGACUAUAUGCGCCGCGCGGGAUGGUCUCUCGGAGGUACUGUGGAUCAGUUCUCUGCCGCGCGACGCGGCGGCGUGCCCGUUGACGGCGCCACGGUGUCCUGUGUUCUCAAGGUUUGUGGGUUCGGUGCCGGACAGAGUUCUUGGGUAGCAGCUGCAUUGCCUGUGCGUCGAAUGUGGGCAUGAUCGAGGUGAGGUCAGUGUCGGUACGUCGCUUGUACAUGAAGUGCUGCAGCGUCUGUGAGGGGAGGGAGGUGUUUGAAGGGAUGCUUAAGAAGAAUGUCGUCACGCGGACAUGCUGACAAGUGCGUUGCUCACACAAAUUGCAUCAUGGUAUCACACAGAGAUCAGUGUUAAUACUAGAGCAUUGGUUUGUUAGCAUUGCCAGUGAAAGUCAGGUUGCCACAAGUGGUAUAAUUGCUUUGUGCAGAAACAGUAAUAAGCUUGCUCUCAUUACCUUCUCAAGUUUCGGCAUGCUGGAUUACAGGAAUCUGCAGCUACAUUGGACCACAUAGAUAUAAAAGUUCUUUUCACUGGCUCUGUUAUGCAUUCAUAAUCCACAACAAGCAGUUUUACUUGUGUUUUAAUACUGGAGUGGCUCAGCAAUGCCUGUGUAAAGAACAAAACUGUCCUAAUUUUUAAUGUAUCGGCAAUUUGAUGGCCUCAAUAACAAUAUAGGGCAUUGUAAACUGAUGGACUAUAUUCAACAAGGACAGGUUUAAAAAAUGCCAUACAGUAGUCUCUGCAACAUUUUGUUUGAGGUAAACAACUCAUGAGAAAUCACCUCCAGAAGCUCAACUUCACUGUAACUAGUCAGAUCCAGGUUUACUUUGGAGGGUUGACAGGGGCAAGCAGGGAAAAUUAGAGGUGAACAUCAUAAAGCUAUUAUUGAUUACGGAGAACUGGUCCAUAAACCAGGGCCAACAGAAGGUACGAAAGGAAUGAUUGCGUAAAUGGUGCAUCAGCUCCUGCAAAUGAGGGUCAAGCUUUAGCUUUAUAAAAUGACUUUGUGAUGGAUUAUAAACCGGUGAGAAGGAUAGAUUAUUCAGUACCGAGGCUAGAAAUCUGAGACGUGAUAAAGCUGCAUACUGCCAUGGAGAAGGAGACUAGCUGCCCGAGGAACACUAGGAACAUCAUGCUCCACGGCGCGCUCUUGUUCUUCAUGAGUCUGAGUACGGUUCAAGGAAAUCCAAGGUUAUAGUUGGUUCAGAAAAGCAUGAUAUACCUUUGACCAUGCUUCUUUGAAGAACACCUUUCACGUGCUUUCAGAGGAGGAAGGAAAUGGUGAAGAACACCCUCUGGAGAAGAGAAGAGCAGGCGAUGCUGCACUGGCAGGAGAAGCGUGCUGUGAACAGGGGGGAGAAUGGAGUUUCGAGUGGUUGGUAUAUUACAAAUGCUUUGAUGUGGUAUACUCCAAGGUUUUCUGUGCUCAGCAGGUCGGCAGCCGUCCAACUGGUAACCGCUCUACAGGCUAGAGGGAUCCUAGGGCCAUGCUUCCACAAACUAAGGACCUUUUUCGAUGUUGGAUCAGCCACAGGAGGAGGAGUACCCAGCACCUUUUCCCUCUGAAACAACACUUUGCAGAUGUCUUUCUGAUGCACCAUGCUCUUGCUUGACGUACGUCGUAAUGGCUAUGGGUUUCAUGCACGAUAGCGGAAUAAGAUUCACAUUGAUUUUGCUGAAUGGUGCCCCCAGGUAUGUGGCAGAAUUUUUCACCUGUUGGUGAUAGAAUAAAACUCGAAUGGCGACUGCCCACAUGUCGGAUGUUAGGAGUGAAAGGUUGAACAAUGUUGAUCCACUCAUCUGCAGGCAUAAUGAUCGUGAGAGAUUAAGAGCUGAAGUCAUAUUUACUGUAAAAUCAUAAUGAAAGGGCCUUCUGACUGAUAUUGAUUUCUGCAUCCUAGCUAGGUAAUAUUAUCUCUUCUUCAUAUGAUCAGGUUAUUCAAGUAAAUGACAACUACUGCUACAGUUUGAAUUAUAAGACUUU
Oryza sativa Japonica Group (Japanese rice) is the source of this 2441-nucleotide long non-coding RNA. RefSeq lists it as uncharacterized. The record is from RefSeq and is a predicted model, not a curated record. Lineage: Eukaryota; Viridiplantae; Streptophyta; Magnoliopsida; Poales; Poaceae.